This 1253-nucleotide long non-coding RNA is filed under the name Homo sapiens (human). RNAcentral's name for it is "long independently transcribed non-coding RNA 1241 (LINC01241)". Lineage: Eukaryota; Metazoa; Chordata; Mammalia; Primates; Hominidae. The record is from RNAcentral.
GUGUUUAGUAGAAAGACAAUCCUUUUUUCUUCCAGUCAAUUUUUUCUUUGAUCUACAGAACUUGCUUCUUUUCUCUGAAGUUUUCACAAUACAGCAUGAUAGAAGGAGCACAGAGUGCCAGAGGCAGGGAAUUCCUAUGCUUCACUAGUGACUCAUAAGAAAACUUAAUAGAAGGUCUCUACUGCCUGCUGGCCCUGCAGUACCUGAUUGAUGUGGUCCCAAACUAAAGUAGGCUAACCUUCAUUGAACCAAGCACUUCAGAGCCAUGGGAAGAAGUAUGGGGGAAGGAGUCCUUGUACUCUGGCAAUGAGGAAAACAAACAUUAACAGUGCAAGACACAGUGAGAGUCACAGAUCCAUGGAUGGACGAUCCUUUUGAGGACAAUAGAGGGGGAAUUUGGAUAAGUUUCCUGAGUGAGAAACCUUCCAGAUGGCAAUCUGAAAGUUAGCUGUUCCUUCUCAAAACACAGAGCUUUCUCAAGAGAAAGAUAACACCCUCUUUCAUCAGAGCGAGCGAGCUUUCUUCAUGGUGGCAAUUUCCAGUCUCCAGUGCAAGGAGGGGAAACUGAAGGAGAAUAAGGCGGUUACAUUCAGUUAGAGCCUGAGAGCAGAAUUUGGUUAGGCUGAAGCAGCUGGAAACUGUGGAAUGUAAUACCAGAGAGGAGACUGCCACACAAAGAACUCUAAAAAUUUUGAUUUUCAGCAAACCUUCAGAAGGCAAAAGGGAAAGUUUUCCCAUGGGCCAACGUGGAUAUGUUUCUGUAAUAGUCUGCUCAGCCUUCUACAACAAGAUGUCGCAGACUGGGUGACUUAAACCAGGGAUCCUCAAACCCUGGCAAUGGAUCGGUACGGGUCAGUGGCCUGUUAGGAAUCAGGCCACGUAGCAGGAGCUCAUUCUAGGGGAAACCAGCUGCCAUAUUAAGAAAACAGUCCUAUGGAAAGGGCCAUGGAACAAAGAAGUGACUUCUGCCAACAACCUCAUGAGUGAACCUAGAAGUGGCUCAUCUAGUCCUGGUCAAAUCUUAUGGACUGUGGCUCCAACUGAUAGUGUGACUGUAACUUCAUAAGAGACGCUGAACCAGACCACCCAAUAAGACACUCCCAGAUUCCCUACUCUCAAAAGUUGUGUGAAAUAAUCACCCCCAGUUGUAUUAAACUGCUAAGUUUUGGGGUAGUGUGUUACACAGCAAUAAAUCAUAAAUACAACAUCCAAGCAAUAAAUUUCUAUGAUAAAUACAAAAAAAAAAAAAAAAA